Molecule: ribosomal RNA, 470 nt
Filed under: uncultured soil bacterium
Lineage: Bacteria
Description: bacterial SSU rRNA
Rfam family: Bacterial small subunit ribosomal RNA
Source: RNAcentral
AGAUUGAACGCUGGCGGCAGGCCUAACACAUGCAAGUCGAGCGGCAGCACGGGUACUUGUAUCUGGUGGCGAGCGGCGGACGGGUGAGUAAUGCCUAGGAAUCUGCCUGGUAGUGGGGGAUAACGCUCGGAAACGGACGCUAAUACCGCAUACGUCCUACGGGAGAAAGCAGGGGACCUUCGGGCCUUGCGCUAUCAGAUGAGCCUAGGUCGGAUUAGCUAGUUGGUGAGGUAAUGGCUCACCAAGGCGACGAUCCGUAACUGGUCUGAGAGGAUGAUCAGUCACACUGGAACUGAGACACGGUCCAGACUCCUACGGGAGCAGCAGUGGGGAAUAUUGGACAAUGGGCGAAAGCCUGAUCCAGCCAUGCCGCGUGUGUGAAGAAGGUCUUCGGAUUGAAAGCACUUUAAGUGGAGAGGCAGUUACCUAAUACGUAUCUGUUUGACGUUACGACAGAAUAAGCUAACCGG